RNAcentral lists this ribosomal RNA (253 nucleotides) under uncultured bacterium. RNAcentral's name for it is "partial 16S ribosomal RNA". It matches the Rfam family "Bacterial small subunit ribosomal RNA", at positions 524 to 776 of the family's 1533-position model. The record is from RNAcentral.
UACAGAGGGGGCAAGCGUUGUUCGGAAUUAUUGGGCGUAAAGGGUGCGUAGGCGGUGCGGUAAGUCUUCUGUGAAAUCUACGGGCUCAACUCGUAGUCUGCAGGAGAAACUGCCGUGCUUGAGUAUGGGAGAGGUGAGUGGAAUUCCUGGUGUAGCGGUGAAAUGCGUAGAUAUCGAGAGGAACACCUGCGGCGAAGGCGGGUAGCUGGGCCGACACUGACGCUGAUGCGCGAAAGCCAGGGGAGCGAACGGG